Molecule: ribosomal RNA, 206 nt
Filed under: uncultured bacterium
Lineage: Bacteria
Description: partial 16S ribosomal RNA
Rfam family: Bacterial small subunit ribosomal RNA
Source: RNAcentral
CGCGCAGGCGGCGUCGUAAGUCGGUCUUAAAAGUGCGGGGCUUAACCCCGUGAGGGGACCGAAACUGCGAUGCUAGAGUAUCGGAGAGGAAAGCGGAAUUCCUAGUGUAGCGGUGAAAUGCGUAGAUAUUAGGAGGAACACCAGUGGCGAAAGCGGCUUUCUGGACGACAACUGACGCUGAGGCGCGAAAGCCAGGGGAGCAAACG